UAUAAAUGUAAUUAUUAAAAUUAAUUGAUUAAUAGAUAUAGUCUUUAAAGUUAAAUAAUUUGGCGGUAUUUUAGUCUUUUCAGAGGAACCUGUUUUGUAAAUGAUAGUCCACGAUUAGAAAAUCUUAAGUUAGAAAUUUAUAUAUCAUCGUUAUUAAAUAUUUUUUUAGAAUCUAAUAUUUAUAAAAUAUAAUUUUAUUUUAAUUCAGAUCAUGGUAUAGUUUAUAUUUAAGUAAUAAUGGGUUACAAUAUUAAUAAAUUUGAAUUUUAAAUUUUAAAUUUAAAUGAAAUUGGAUUUGAAAGUAAUUAUUUUUUUUUAAAAUAAUGAUUUAGCUCUAAAAUAUGU
RNAcentral lists this ribosomal RNA (345 nucleotides) under Scymnus podoides. RNAcentral describes it as "partial small subunit ribosomal RNA". The record is from RNAcentral. Lineage: Eukaryota; Metazoa; Arthropoda; Insecta; Coleoptera; Coccinellidae.